Molecule: long non-coding RNA, 5092 nt
Organism: Pseudopipra pipra
Lineage: Eukaryota; Metazoa; Chordata; Aves; Passeriformes; Pipridae
Exons: 2
Source: RefSeq, a predicted model, not a curated record
CCUGGGAAAAGCAUGGGAACUUGGUUUAAAUGAGAAAUCGUAAGUUCAUGUCGUGGAUUUCUUACAAUAUUAAAUACAGUUUCCAAUUUCUUUUUUAUUUUUCUUCUGCCCUCUUGACUUCAAUACCUCUGUCACUGGUUACUAUCUUUAAACCAGAAGCUGCUGUGAAUGGAAAUGAUAUCUACACAGUACUUGUUGGAGCACCUCAUUCUUGACAGGCAGCCCUUGGCACUGCCUCAACAAUGCCACAGCACCAGAUGAGAUUUGUAAGCCUGAUUUUAUGUAAUGCUUUCAUUUAUUAGAAAUUAUUAGACUGGUUCGUCUGGGUGAGAGGAAUGAGUGAGAGAACCAUCCUUCUGGGACCAUGGGAUAGUGCAGCUGAAAUCUUUUGCUGUUCCUGCCACCCUCAGUCCCAUUUCCUGAUCACAUAAAUAUCAGACUUCAGAGGUGUUCACCUGAUGCUGGGGAUAGAUUUCUUUUAAUGGUAGUAGUCUGUGAAUGGCUGAAUUAAGAAUGGAAUUUAUAUUAUAAUGGUUCUAUGUAUUUUCAGAAUGUGUUUCCUUCCACCUAGGCAGAUGUAGGAAAGCCUGGGGGCAGAUACAGGAUUUUAACUGUAAUAAAGAGACAAAAGUCAAAGGAAAUUUUCCUGAGUGGUGCUCUCAGUGCUCUGGAACUCUUCAUCUUUCCUGACAAUUCCUCCUUUAGAAUCUACAUUCUACAGGCAGGUUAUUACCUGAUUGCAAAGUCUGAGAAGUCACUUGGCAGGAUCAAGAAUCAACAUGCUCCCAAGCAGACUGUCUGAUCUAAUCUGGCUAACAGCUAUUAGCAUAAUUAUACACCAGGCAUAGUCCACAUCUAAACCAAGCACUCAGCACAAAGACAUAUGGAAUACCUUCCUCAUGUGUCAUGUUUGAAUUCAGCUCUCUCUGUCCUUAAAAAUCUAUUGCUCAUGACUCUGCAGUAUUUUCCCUUAUCCAUCUUAUCUCCAGUAUUGCUUGUUUUCAAACGUCAGAAUUACUAGAUUGUGGCUACUGGCAUAAACUGAUAGUAAUUUUACACCUGGUAAUUGAAUGCUGUUUUCUUAAGUUCAGUGACAGACAGGCAAUACCUUUUUCAAUUGAAUCAACACAGCUGGAUUUAGAUGCUGCAGGAGCCUGAUGGAGACAACAAAAAUUCUGGUGCAGGAGACCUGACAAGUUCAAGACCUGGUUCUGAUCUGGAUGCCAGUUGUUUUGCAGAGUACAAGAGACAAAGAAUUGUCCAGGCACUGUGUGAUGGUGCUGAAAGGUAAAGGGUAAUAUCAUUAAGGAGAAGAACCUUACUGGAUAAUUUUAGCUAUAGAGUCAAUUUUUUUUCACAGAAGGACUAAAAAGAUAUAGCUUUGUCAUCAUGUGUUUUAUCCACCUAAGUGUCCUUGUUUAAAAAAGUAUCACUGGGUAAUGGAAUAAGCGAAUCAAUUCUAAAGAAUUCAGUUGCAGCACCCUGAGCUGCAUGGAAACAUUGCACAGAUUUAAUGAUUUCUGUCAUAUCAUAACAGCAGCAUUUGUUUCCUCAGAGUUAAACACGAGAAUCCCCUGCAUUUUGUUCCCGUUUAUCAUGGCUUUAAACCUUCACCUUCAGAAAGGAGUCAAAUGGUGGGAAGCAAAGGAAAGAAAAAUAUCUUUUAGUAUCUUGCAGUUUGUACGUGUCGUGUGCUGUUGCACUCCUCGGAGCUGGCCAGCUCCAAUCACUGUAGAAAAUCUGUUGAUUUUUUCUACACAAGCACAGAAAAGCAACUUUUUAUGUCAGAGUGAUGAGCCACUAGAGGCACAUGACAGUCAGAACUUCAUAGUGGACCUGUUUGUGAACAAGAAAUGUACCUUUUUCUUGGUGGGGGGGUUAUAAGUUGGCACUUACUGGAGUAAGUGCCAUUGGAAUAGCAGCUUCCUGAAACAGGUGUGAUGGCGGGAUAAUCCUUGGAGGGAUGUCAGUGAGCUGGAAAAUGUGUUUGGAAGGGCUGUGAGCAGCACCUCACGUUUCAGCUGACAAGGUAACUUGCCCACCUUCAUGCUGUGGGGGCAGCCCCCAUAUCUUUAGGUAUAGUGUGGGAGUUGAAUCAACUCUUCAUGUGGUUUGAGCAGAAAGAAAUGCUUUGAACGUGGAAGGAGAACCAGACCCUUAGUCUGAUGGAUGAAUGGCAGUGUUCAGCAACGGAACGGGCAGGUGCAUAGGAUGGUAUCUCUGAAGAAACUGUUGCAUUCUCCUUUUAAAACUCCAUAAAGUGUUCAUGUUCCCACGCUUGUCCUCGCAUCCCCCUGUAGAGCUGAGAUGUGAUUAAUUCCUCAAUUUUCUUUUUCAGUUUCACUCUCUGCAUUUUUUUUUCAAACAGACGAGAAACUGUUGUCUUCAUUGUUUGCAUGAGCCACGUCACUGAAGAUUUAGUGUGCAGUCAGAGCAUGCUCAUUGGCAACAUCCUUUAGCACACGACAUCAUCAUUCUUUGAAUUACUACAUCCUUUUGCUAUAGGGAAAGAGUCUAUUUUGAAAUAUUUGCAGUGUCAGAGUUCACAGUGGAAGAGCAAAUGCUUAGUCCUUAGCAGGACCUAUUUUAAUAGAAAUAGUGAAUCUGCCAUGUCACCCAAACCUGGAGCUGUUCUGCUUACCUGCUCUCGUGUCACUGGUGCCAUCAGGAUACUGGAAACACUGGGAACCCAAGGGAAGUGCAGUGAUGGGGAGCAAUAAUGGUGGUUACAGACAGCAUAGAGGUAACAGACUGUUCAGAACCAGGAGAGCUUGUGAUUUAGGUACUUAAAUAAUCAAACAUUUUUAUUGGAAAGAAACCCAACAGAAUGUAGUCAAAAUGGAGACUGUAAUUUCUAUGACAGCAAGAGGACCUUCAUUUCCCUGGGGAGAAGAAAGGGAGGAGUUGAGUGAUGGAAAGAAAACAGGCUUCAGUUCUGAAGUACCUUGGAUUGCCCAUAUCAAAAAUAAAAACACAAAUCCCAGUAGGAAGGUGCAGGAUUUAGCACUUUGGGCUGCCAGCCUGACACAUUUCCACUGGAGAGAGCUGGGGAAAUGGCCUAAAUGCUUUGAUAUAUUUAACCUGCUGAAAAACAUACAAUUAGAAUUCAUGGUAUUUGUUUCUGAAUAUCACACACAGAAAAUAAUAAGAAAAAAAUGAACAGGGAACAGCUUUCCAUGGAUGAGACUUCCAUAUUUAUUGUUAUUCCAUGUGCAUAGAAAAUGGCAGUGAAGUUCCUUAUGAAAUAGGCAGGGAAUGGGAGAGGUGUGGAUGUACUGGACCGGACUUUGUGCUUCAAAAUGACACUAUUCAUUUUUUAAAGUUUGGGCUUUUUUUCUCUUGGAUUUCUUUUUGUGCACUGUUUCAGAUUCCUUUUCCAAUGACACACUGCAUUACAAAUGGAUGGCACUUGAGACCGAGGUGGCGUUUCCAUAUUUACACGCACGCGGAAUGUACACGACGCGGCAGCAUACAAUCCUGACAUUUAGUAAUAGCGAGGACACAGGGGCAGCCGGCGGAGCUUUUCUGUACAAACUAUCAGACCAAGACUUUUAUUCACAUAAAAAAAAAUCAGCUUUAAUUUGCUCUGACCUACACACUUUCCAAAUUCAUUGUACUCAAUUCUCAAACCUUUCAUCACAUCGCCCACACCCUCACCAGACUACAGGAGCUACAAGUAAUGAUACCUAACACCUAAACAGAGCAAAACCGUCCCUGCCAGUUUUCCUCCUGACAAUUCCUCUCUCAAAAAAACCCCAAAACAAAUCUUCCUUGUUCCUUCUUGUCUUUCACUUUCGCAUUUCAUAACCAAAGCCACUCAGGGCUGUUCCAGUCCUUCUCGAGCCAGACGAGAACCACGCUGGGUUGUUCUCUCUGGUGCUACACCCAGGAGUCAGGGGAGCCCGGGUACUGUUCUGCUCGGUAAGAAGAUCGUCUGGUGGAAUAAAAGUCUACAUAAUUGGUGGUUGAUUUCAGUCCAUACUGUGUUGUGUAAUCUGAAGCAGCAGGAAAGUGAACUCGGUCGUCGAAGUAGGGGUCCUCGUAGCUGUGUGGGGACUGCAGGUACAACCGGUAGGCAUCGUAGUUUUUCCUGGUGGUAUCUUCUUGGCUGUAGUAUAAUUGCUGAUGCUGCUGGCAAAAUGAUAGAAAAAUAAGCUUUCAAGGUAUAAUCAACAGAGAAAAUACUUGUUUCUCAAACUCACACACAUUGUAAAGAACCUUUCCCAAGUGCAGCUCUACCAGUGACAGUAACACAGGUCUCAAACCUCCAUGAAAUGUGCCCAAGGAAGUGGUACAUUUCCCUGAGCCUGCUGCAUGUCUCCUCCCACACCCCUGGGAAGGGAGCACAACUUCAGAGCGCAGGUGUAGGAGGUACAGAACCUGACCAUACCUGCGAACCCCCCAAGCCCAAAUCAAAUCAGAGCAGAGGUCUCGGACCCCGCCGUGAGAACUCGUAAGGGAGCAGGCGCAGCGGCCCCGGGGCUGGGACAGGGCAGUGCCCAGAGCCACAGCCCCUGCUGAGCCUGGGCAGCUCCAGCUCACCUGCAGCCGUCGGUUCUGUUCUCUCGCUGGUGAGGAAUAGGAACUGAUGUAAAUUGGGGAAGCUUUGCUGGAACCUGGCAGAAAACAGUUUAGGGAUAAACUUCAGUCUUUAUUCUUCCACCUCUUAAGUCUAUUGGCUUCUGUUUUGCCUAUUAUGUAGCACUCAAACAAUUAAAUCUGCAGAUUUUAGCAUCUACUAAUGUAGAUAUAUAUAUAAUGUAAUAACAGAAUAAAGGCAAAUGUUGUCCCUCAGCAGCAGUUACAGUGAAGCCAAGAGGCUUUUUUAUCUUGCUGGUUUUUGUUUUACAGAUUCAUAAUGUUUAAAACAAGGCAUUUCCUUCUCCUUAGAGACAAUCAUCUACUGGUGUGCAACUUGUGUCACACAGUGAGAAGGAAAAGAGAUAUCAGAGAAAAGAUUCUGAUCUUUUGGUAUAAUUUAGUAAUAUAAUGUUAUAAUAUACAACUGCACGUUAUAAUUUAUAACAUCAUCAUAUAAUGUGAAUAAAACAAUUUUCUGUAAUAGUACUUGAAAUAAAAAUAAGAAUUCCAA